Molecule: long non-coding RNA, 975 nt
Filed under: Arachis ipaensis
Lineage: Eukaryota; Viridiplantae; Streptophyta; Magnoliopsida; Fabales; Fabaceae
Description: long non-coding RNA (AIPA_LNC001367)
Source: RNAcentral
AACGCACAAAGAUCAUCGCCUUCAUCUCCGGUUACGGUGAGCACUAUUUCCGCCGUUUCGGUUGUUCCUAUCUUAUCCUAUACUUCAUUCAUUUUUUCGUUGUUAACUCUCUAGAAUCUUCUAUACCCUCAGAUCUUACCGCUUCUUUCUCUCUCCCUGCUUCCUACCUCUUUCCCCAACGCCAACUUCUUCUGCUCACUCUUCGAUCGGGUUCUGUCACCACUUUUUAUUAUUUUUUCCUUUCUAAUGUAAUUAUACAUCCUCUGCUGCUUUCCUUUUGCCCUGAUUUAUCUAUCAAAUUUCUCUCAUGUCUCAUUAUUUUUACUCUCUUUAUGCUGUUAUCAAAAUCUGUCCUAACUUUCAGGCAUUUUACUUUUUACUAGUCCUAUAAAUCAUUUCAAGAAUUUCAAAUAUAUCUCUGUAUUCUUCAGUUCUCUUUGUUUAUGUCGCGGAUAUAAACCUGUUCAUUGCCAUGCUUUGGUGCCGGGUCUAGAUUGCUUGUGCUGUAGGAGACCUGUUAUGUUAUACUUUGUGGCCUCUAUAUGUCGUUAUGUGUCCAUAGAAAUAAGCAAUUUUUACUUGCAAAAUGUAUGGAUUGGAUGUCCAUUCACCUAGUUGAUAUAUUCGAUGAAGAUGAGGUGCCACGGCAAUAAUGCACUUGAGCGUCUUUAUGAAUAACGAGUUCUUGAGACAAGUAAAUAGUACACAUUACAUAAUUUUCUUUAAUAUCCGCAUUCGUGAUAUGGCUUCCUUUUUAAUGAAUUUUGUAAUUAAAUGCCUGAAAAUGAAUGUUUACCUCCUAUUUAAUUGUUUUUUCUUGGCCCCGGGGGAUUUUUUCUAUAGAAUUUUUUGGUCCGUGAAAUUGUUGCUGAGAAAAUAGCAUGGCAAGUCAGGGCUCUAAUGAAGGCUCUAGUUCCGGCAUUACAUCGGCUGAGUGUUCGGAUUCAACUGUUCAACUCAACAUCAAGACNNNNN